GAGCCGCGCUCGCCCGCCCGCCCCUCGACUCGCGAGGGCGUAAAAGUUUGUCUCAGCUCGAGCAUUCCUAGCGCCAACACGCCCUCAGGUAAAGGUGGAAGUAAAUGGCCACGCUGUAUUGACAGAGCAGGUAGAUGAAACUCAAGAGAAAAGGUGUGGAUAAAUGAAACUAGCCCAUGAUGAACCUGUUUUCUCCGUGACCACAAUAUUAACCAGGAUGAUGGCGG
Molecule: long non-coding RNA, 227 nt
Filed under: Pan troglodytes (chimpanzee)
Lineage: Eukaryota; Metazoa; Chordata; Mammalia; Primates; Hominidae
Description: long non-coding RNA NONPTRT013468
Source: RNAcentral